CCUACGGGAGGCAGCAGUGUGGGAUAUUGCACAAUGGGGGAAACCCUGAUGCAGCGACGCCGCGUGGGUGAAGAAGCGCCUCGGCGCGUAAAGCCCUGUCAGCAGGGAAGAAAAUGACGGUCCCUGAAGAAGAAGCACCGGCUAACUACGUGCCAGCAGCCGCGGUAAUACGUAGGGGGCAAGCGUUAUCCGGAUUUACUGGGUGUAAAGGGGGCGCAGACGGGGAUGUAAGCCAGGAGUGAAAGCCCGGGGCCCAACCCCGGGACUGCUCUUGGAACUGCGUGGCUAGAGUGCAGGAGGGGCAGGCGGAAUGCCUGGUGUAGCGGUGAAAUGCGUAGAUAUCAGGAGGAACACCGAUGGCGAAGGCGGCCUGCUGGACUGCAACUGACGUUGAGGCCCGAAAGCGUGGGGAGCAAACAGGAUUAGAUACCCCUGUAGUC
RNAcentral lists this ribosomal RNA (440 nucleotides) under uncultured bacterium. Its description in RNAcentral is "partial 16S ribosomal RNA". It matches the Rfam family "Bacterial small subunit ribosomal RNA", at positions 338 to 795 of the family's 1533-position model. The record is from RNAcentral.